AAGGAUUUAAGUUAAUAAAACUAUUAACCUUCAAAGUUAAAAUUAGAGAUUUCUAAGCCUUA
This 62-nucleotide transfer RNA is filed under the name Thlaspida biramosa. RNAcentral's name for it is "tRNA-Trp". The record is from RNAcentral. Lineage: Eukaryota; Metazoa; Arthropoda; Insecta; Coleoptera; Chrysomelidae.